UACGUAGGGUGCAAGCGUUGUUCGGAAUUACUGGGCGUAAAGCGCACGUAGGCGGACUGUUAAGUCGGGGGUGAAAUCCUGGGGCUCAACCUCAGAAUUGCCUCCGAUACUGGCAGUCUCGAGUGCGGGAGAGGUGAGUGGAAUUCCCAGUGUAGAGGUGAAAUUCGUAGAUAUUGGGAAGAACACCAGUGGCGAAGGCGGCUCACUGGCCCGUAACUGACGCUGAGGUGCGAAAGCGUGGGGAGCAAACAGG
This 253-nucleotide ribosomal RNA is filed under the name uncultured bacterium. Its description in RNAcentral is "partial 16S ribosomal RNA". It matches the Rfam family "Bacterial small subunit ribosomal RNA", at positions 524 to 776 of the family's 1533-position model. The record is from RNAcentral.